AUGAACGCUGGCGGCGUGCCUAAUACAUGCCAGUCGAGCGAACAGACGAGGAGCUUACUCCUCUGACGUUAGCGGCGGACGGGUGAGUAACACGUGGAUAACCUACCUAUAAGACUGGGAUAACUUCGGGAAACCGGAGCUAAUACCGGAUAACAUGUUGAACCGCAUGGUUCAACAGUGAAAGACGGUCUUGCUGUCACUUAUAGAUGGAUCCGCGUCGCAUUAGCUAGUUGGUAAGGUAACGGCUUACCAAGGCAACGAUGCGUAGCCGACCUGAGAGGGUGAUCGGCCACACUGGAACUGAGACACGGUCCAGACUCCUACGGGAGGCAGCAGUAGGGAAUCUUCCGCAAUGGGCGAAAGCCUGACGGAGCAACGCCGCGUGAGUGAAGAAGGUCUUCGGAUCGUAAAACUCUGUUAUUAGGGAAGAACAAAUGUGUAAGUAACUAUGCACGUCUUGACGGUACCUAAUCAGAAAGCCACGGCUAACUACGUG
RNAcentral lists this ribosomal RNA (496 nucleotides) under uncultured bacterium. RNAcentral's name for it is "partial 16S ribosomal RNA". It matches the Rfam family "Bacterial small subunit ribosomal RNA", at positions 29 to 507 of the family's 1533-position model. The record is from RNAcentral.